RNAcentral lists this transfer RNA (69 nucleotides) under Cerithidea tonkiniana. RNAcentral describes it as "tRNA-Asp". The record is from RNAcentral. Lineage: Eukaryota; Metazoa; Mollusca; Gastropoda; Potamididae.
AGAAAGUUAGUUAAAAUAUAACUUAAGAUUGUCAGUCUUACAUUGCUAAUAUAAGUUUAGUACUUUCUA